AGCAAACUAAGGCAAUGCUGGGGCUCUGCCUAUUCUCAGUGGUUGAUGCCAUUUUUAAAUAUAAAUUUUUUUGGUCAUUCUUACCCACAGAAGGACUUUACAGCAAGAAUAGAAGCAAGCUGAGGUGUAUGCCAGAUGACAUGACAGGCACAUGGACCUUACCAUCUUUUUUCUUUAAAUUAUCAAGAGGAGACCACAAGAUGAGGAAUACUUCACUGCAGGUGGUGAUAUGAAACUGACAAGUAGUUUAUAAACUAGCCCUACCCUAUUGCUUGGAGAAGCUUUAUAACUGAUUGUUUUAAUACCAAAGUGACACCAAAGGGGGUCAAGUAAAUAAAUAUGCAAGCCUCACCAGUUCAAAAUAAUAAAAUUCCAAUGUGUGCAAGCCUGCUUGUUGAACAUAUGUUUGAGGCACGGCUAAGCCAUCUGGCUCAGUGUCAAGCAUUUACACCAACUGUAGUCUUACAGUACCUGACAGCAGAAAAGCUUUAUUCCCCUGGUGUUUGGGCACAAAUGGAGAAAUAUUAUUGAAAUGAUUAUCUGCAUCAAGACUCAGAUUUGCUUUGACAUUUAGCUGGCUCUGUUUAAUCCAAAGGGUUGUCUGAAUGAAUAAAGAGAAGGGUUCCUCCAGAAGAUGCUGCGAGCAGCCAGGGAAAGCCAAAUGAUUAAUGAGACUGAAAGGCAGGGUGGACCUGCCCACCUCCACCCAGACCUCAGUGCCAAGAACUGAAUAUGAAAUUAGUCUAAAGCUUUCCGUGGCUUGUCAGGAAGAUUCUUCUACCCUCACAUGGGCUCUCAUUUUGGACUCUGGAACAAAAGAAAUGGAUACCUUACCCAAUAUGGAGGAAAUAGAGAGGCUGGGAGAGUGCUUCGUGUUAUAAUCAGAACAUUUCACAUUCAAACACUUUUUGCUUUUAACAGCUCUACCAGAGGCAUUUAGAUAUUACGUUAGGAGUAGAGUCUCUUUUCGGAAUUAGAAAGCUGCGGCUUGUCGCCUGGUUUCUGUUUUGGCAGCUGGUUUCUAUAUGCUAUGGUCCUUAUAUCAAGAUAAUUUCUUUUGGCUUAGAAUGCUAUGUUCCUCUGGUUAUUCUGUGUUGCCAUUCAUUUUAAGAUGCUAUAUUAAGCUGAGUUACUUGAAAAACGAGGUACAGUGCUAGUUUUAGCAUUCACCUGUGCUAGCAAAAUUCAGGCAUUUAGCCAAAAAAGAGACAUCUUUCAUAGUCAAAGACAAUUAGCAAUAAAAUAAAAUAUUAAUUUUAAAAUAAAACAGAAUAAUAACAACAAUAAUAGAAUAGGCAUCUUAAUUUGGAAAUCUUUAUCAAAGAUUUAUAGGUUGUCACUUAUUUCUUCAGGUAUAUUGUACCUUUUGGAGGGAGAAUUUUAGUAAUGAUUGUUGAUUUAGAUUUGAAAUUACUUUGGUGAUUUGGUUUUAAUAAGAAUGUUAGGCAUGAUUUCUUUCUCACUCUUACUUUUAAUUAACUUUUUAUAGAGAUAUGAAUGAAUUCUAAUGAACACAAUUGGCAAGCUAAUUGAUUUGUUUCAGAUCACAGUGAGCGAUCAGUAUGCUGGCAACAUUGAUAUACUAUUCAAGGAUGUCAAACAGUUUUUGGGUUAAUUUUCUGGCAGAGGUUAGUUGGGGAAACUGCUUAAAAUAUGUACUGUUUUUGAUUUUCAACUAAGUGCCUGGUUUUUUAAAUAUUCAGUGAAUUAAAAGAUAUCUAUUCCUUUGAAUUUAUAGUGUCUUUAAAUUAUCAC
RNAcentral lists this long non-coding RNA (1755 nucleotides) under Homo sapiens (human). Its description in RNAcentral is "long non-coding RNA NONHSAT182964.1". The record is from RNAcentral. Lineage: Eukaryota; Metazoa; Chordata; Mammalia; Primates; Hominidae.